GGCAAGAUGGCCGAGCGGUCCAAGGCGUGUGACUCAAGUUCUCAUCUGUGUAUGCAGGCGGGGGUUCGAAUCCCCCUCUUGUCA
This 84-nucleotide transfer RNA is filed under the name Flammulina velutipes KACC42780. RNAcentral describes it as "tRNA-Leu (CAA) (tRNA-Leu-CAA-1-1, tRNA-Leu-CAA-1-2)". It matches the Rfam family "tRNA". From Rfam's summary of the family: Transfer RNA (tRNA) molecules are approximately 80 nucleotides in length. Their secondary structure includes four short double-helical elements and three loops (D, anti-codon, and T loops). Further hydrogen bonds mediate the characteristic L-shaped molecular structure. tRNAs have two regions of fundamental functional importance: the anti-codon, which is responsible for specific mRNA codon recognition, and the 3' end, to which the tRNAs corresponding amino acid is attached (by aminoacyl-tRNA synthetases). tRNAs cope with the degeneracy of the genetic code in two manners: having more than one tRNA (with a specific anti-codon) for a particular amino acid; and 'wobble' base-pairing, i.e. permitting non-standard base-pairing at the 3rd anti-codon position. Lineage: Eukaryota; Fungi; Basidiomycota; Agaricomycetes; Agaricales; Physalacriaceae. The record is from RNAcentral.